RNAcentral lists this ribosomal RNA (678 nucleotides) under uncultured fungus. RNAcentral's name for it is "eukaryotic LSU rRNA". The stretch from base 269 to 422 matches the Rfam family "5.8S ribosomal RNA". Lineage: Eukaryota; Fungi. The record is from RNAcentral.
AGUAAAAGUCGUAACAAGGUUUCCGUAGGUGAACCUGCGGAAGGAUCAUUAUUGAAUUCCAACUGGGUGAAAUUUGUUGCUGGCCUUUUGUGAGGCAUGUGCACAUUUCAUCUAUGUAAACCUUUUAUACCCCUGUGCACUUUUCAUAGAACAGCUUGCAGUCAUUGACCUCUUUGGUUGAUAUCGGCAGUUUGUUCUGUGUCAAUUCUUUACAGACUCAUUGUCAGUUAUGAAUGUUCAUUAUGUGUGCGCAUGCGCAUUGAAAUACAACUUUCAGCAACGGAUCUCUUGGCUCUCGCAUCGAUGAAGAACGCAGCGAAGUGCGAUAAGUAAUGUGAAUUGCAGAAUUCAGUGAAUCAUUGAAUCUUUGAACGCACCUUGCGCUCCUUGGUAUUCCGAGGAGCAUGCCUGUUUGAGUGUCAUGGUAUUCUCAAUUCCUUUGUUCUUGUUCGAACAAAGUGAUAUUGGACUUGGAGGCAUUUUGCUGGCGAUAACAAGUCAGCUCCUCUCAAAACUAUCAGCGUGAAGGGUCACCUUAUGCUCAGUGUGAUAAUUAUCUGCAUUGCGCUCGGUGCUACUUUUUCAGGCUUCGAAUCGUCUUCGGACAAUUUUAUUGACAUCUGACCUCAAAUCAGGUAGGACUACCCGCUGAACUUAAGCAUAUCAAUAAGCGGAGGA